UUUUCUUAGUAGCGGCGAGCGAAAAGAAAUCAGUUCAGCACUAAGUCACUUUGUCUUUAUGGGAAAUGUGAGAUGCAGUGUAUGGAACGUUUAGAAUCUAGUAUGAGAAAUUAAUGAUUUAAGUCCUUCUUAAAUGAGGCCAAUUACCCAUAGAGGGUGCCAGGCCCGUAUAACGUUAAUGAUUACUAGAAGGCGAUUCCAAAGAGUCGUGUUGCUUGAUAGUGCAGCACUAAGUUGGUGGUAAACUCCAUCUAAAACUAAAUAUGACCAUGAGACCGAUAGUAAACAAGUACCGUGAGGGAAAGUUGAAAAGAACUCUGAAUAGAGAGUUAAAUAGUACGUGAAACUGCUUAGAGGUUAAGCCCGAUGAACCUGAAUAUCCGUUAUGGAAAAUUCAUCAUUAAAAUUGUAAUAUCUUUACUUUUUUUGUUUUUUUUAACAAAAAGAAAGAAAAUAUUAUAAUGAUAGUGUGCAUUUUUUCCAUAUAAGGACAUUGUAAUCUAUUAACAUAAUAAAAUAUUUAUGAAAAAAUCAUAAACAUAAAGUUUAUUUUAAUUAUUAUGCUUGCAUUUUAACAUAAAAUAAAUGUUAAUGAUUUGAUAAAGUGUUAAUAAAUUUAUCAUAUAUACAAUGCUUUAAUUUUUUCGGAAUUAUAUAAUAGCAUAAUUAUCAUUGAUUUUUAUGUUUAUUAUAUGCAUUUGUAUGUUUAACAAUGCGAAAGAUUCAGGAUACCCUCGGGACCCGUCUUGAAACACGGACCAAGGAGUCUAACAUAUAUGCAAGUCAUUGGGAUUUUAUAAACCUAAUGGCAUAAUUAACUUAACUUGUUAAUAUAUGGGAUUAGUUUUUAAACUAUUUAUAGUUUAUUAACACAAUCCCGGGGCGUUCUAUAUAGUUAUGUAUAAUAAUAUUUAUAUUGUU
Molecule: ribosomal RNA, 921 nt
Filed under: Stegana sp. 1482 JL-2019
Lineage: Eukaryota; Metazoa; Arthropoda; Insecta; Diptera; Drosophilidae
Description: partial 28S ribosomal RNA
Rfam family: Eukaryotic large subunit ribosomal RNA
Source: RNAcentral